Molecule: ribosomal RNA, 468 nt
Filed under: uncultured bacterium
Lineage: Bacteria
Description: partial 16S ribosomal RNA
Rfam family: Bacterial small subunit ribosomal RNA
Source: RNAcentral
GACGAACGCUGGCGGCGUGCUUAACACAUGCAAGUCGAACGGAAAGGCCCUGCUUUUGUGGGGUGCUCGAGUGGCGAACGGGUGAGUAACACGUGAGUAACCUGCCCUUGACUGUGGGAUAACUUCAGGAAACUGGGGCUAAUACCGGAUAGGAGCUCCUGCUGCAUGGUGGGGGUUGGAAAGUUUCGGCGGUUGUGGAUGGACUCGCGGCUUAUCGGCUUGUUGGUGGGGUAGUGGCUUACCAAGGCUUUGACGGGUAGCCGGCCUGAGAGGGUGACCGGCGACAUUGGGACUGCGGUACGGCGCAGACGCCUACGGGCGGCAGCAGGGGGGAAUAUUGCACAGUGGGCGGAAGCCUGAUGCAGCAGCGCCGCGUGCGGGAUGCCGGCCUUCGGGUUGUAAACCGCUUUCGCCUGUGCCGAAGCGUGAGUGACGGUAAUGGGUAAAGAAGCACCGGCUAACUACGUG